Arachis duranensis is the source of this 148-nucleotide long non-coding RNA. RefSeq lists it as uncharacterized. The transcript is spliced from 3 exons. The record is from RefSeq and is a predicted model, not a curated record. Lineage: Eukaryota; Viridiplantae; Streptophyta; Magnoliopsida; Fabales; Fabaceae.
AAAAAGAAAGAAACAAAAACAACUCCAAAAAAAACACAACAAAAAAAGAAAAAAGUUGUUGUGGAGGAUUCACCUCCUGAAGAAGAUCAAUACUUUGACGGUGAGAGAUAUGAAAUAUCAAGUGACGAACUCGAUGAAUGGCUAAGGG